GUGCUCCCGUGGGCAGCACAUAACACUGAAAUGGCACCUGUACAGAGAAGGUGAGCAUGGCCCCUGUGCAUAGGUAACAUGCACAUUUUUGAGCCUUUCCAUAUGUUU
Peromyscus maniculatus bairdii (prairie deer mouse) is the source of this 108-nucleotide small nuclear RNA. Lineage: Eukaryota; Metazoa; Chordata; Mammalia; Rodentia; Cricetidae. The record is from Ensembl.